AAUAGGACUGUGUGGUGCCCGACACAUCGUUUAUGGGUCAGCGCAGCCGUGGUGGCUGAGCCCGUGGCCAGGGGCCGCUCGCGCCCUCCCGGCGGCUACCACCGCAGCCAGGGGGCCCUCUGGCCUCGGAACCGACCCACUCCAGGCUCCAAGUGCCAAAGUGACAGUCAGCCUUGCCACGAGAUAAGAGAUGAAGAGACUGGGGCCUGAAGAAAUUAAGUUACUUGUCUGGUGCCACAUAGCUCGUAGGUGAGAGAGCCUGGAUGACAGCACACAGGCCCGUCUCAGAGCCCACACGCUCACCCAUUCCACGUAGCCACUUCCCGUGAGAAAGGGAAAAACAAGGCUCCCGGUCUCUUAAGCAUCUCAUUUCGUGGGGAAGAUGCAAUCCAGGUGCAC
Suricata suricatta (meerkat) is the source of this 399-nucleotide long non-coding RNA. RefSeq lists it as uncharacterized. The record is from RefSeq and is a predicted model, not a curated record. The transcript is spliced from 3 exons. NCBI's taxonomy places the organism in Eukaryota, Metazoa, Chordata, Mammalia, Carnivora, Herpestidae.